RNAcentral lists this ribosomal RNA (253 nucleotides) under uncultured bacterium. RNAcentral describes it as "partial 16S ribosomal RNA". It matches the Rfam family "Bacterial small subunit ribosomal RNA", at positions 524 to 776 of the family's 1533-position model. The record is from RNAcentral.
UACGGAGGGUGCAAACGUUGCUCGGAAUCAUUGGGCGUAAAGCGCACGUAGGCGGUCCACUAAGUUGGAUGUGAAAGCCCCGGGCUCAACCCGGGAAGUGCAUACAAAACUGGUGGACUUGAAUAUGGAAGAGGGUCGCGGAAUUCCCGGUGUAGAGGUGAAAUUCGUAGAUAUCGGGAGGAACACCUGAGGUGAAGACGGGUUGCUGGGCUGACACUGACGCUGAGGCGCGAAAGCCAGGGGAGCAAGCGGG